AAUCGCGAAAUUUGAUAUCAACACUUAAACCGUCUAAAUCCUCUACAAAAACAUAACAAAACCCCACUGAAAUUUCUCCAUUUCAUCAUCUCUACAUCAUGAAUUUAAUCGAAAAACAUUCUAGGGCUUGUAACUUGUGCGGAUGAUAUCUCCUUCAAUUCUCAACCUUUUCAGAUAUAAACCGUUCCUUUUCGUGCGGUGCAUUCUCGUGGAUUAACUCUUCGCAACCUGUUUUCAAAGUUGAUGAUCAAGUGAUGUGGACACAUAGCAUGGGCCUUAG
This is a long non-coding RNA of Helianthus annuus (common sunflower), 280 nucleotides long. RefSeq lists it as uncharacterized. The transcript has 3 exons. The record is from RefSeq and is a predicted model, not a curated record. NCBI's taxonomy places the organism in Eukaryota, Viridiplantae, Streptophyta, Magnoliopsida, Asterales, Asteraceae.